UGGGGAAUUUUGCACAAUGGGGGAAACCCUGAUGCAGCGACGCCGCGUGAUUUAGAAGGCCUUCGGGUUGUAAAAAUCUUUUUUACGGGAUGAAAAUGACAGUACCGUCAGAAUAAGGUCCGGCUAAAUACGUGCCAGCAGCCGCGGUAAUACGUAUGGACCGAGCGUUGUCCGGAAUCAUUGGGCGUAAAGGGUACAUAGGCGGCCUAGUAAGUUAACAGUGAAAUAAUAUAGCUCAACUAUAUAAAGCUUUUAAAACUGCUAGGCUUGAGAGAUGGAAAGGAAAGUGGAAUUCCUAGUGUAGCGGUGAAAUGCGCAGAUAUUAGGAAGAAUACCGGUGGCGAAGGCGACUUUCUGGUCAUCAUCUGACGCUGAGGUACGAAAGCGUGGGUAGCAAACAGG
Molecule: ribosomal RNA, 402 nt
Filed under: bacterium
Lineage: Bacteria
Description: partial 16S ribosomal RNA
Rfam family: Bacterial small subunit ribosomal RNA
Source: RNAcentral